GCUGAACAAACUGAAAAAUCAACUCUUCUUAGAUGCAUAAGAGAAGUGAGGUCACAGGGCAAAUCGCUGCCCCCACACUUGGAGAGAUGGGCAGGCGAAUACAGAGAAUCACAACUUACCGGAGCAGCAACCCAUGAGCUGAAAUGGCCACAGGAACCAGCACCCAGGAAGGGAAACCUAAAUUGUGAUUUGGACCAAGCUUCUCACCAGCUUUUCCC
Molecule: long non-coding RNA, 218 nt
Filed under: Homo sapiens (human)
Lineage: Eukaryota; Metazoa; Chordata; Mammalia; Primates; Hominidae
Description: non-protein coding lnc-MARCH5-2:1
Source: RNAcentral